CAGCAGCAGCCACGGGAAUACGAAGGGUGCAAGCGUUAAUCGGAAUUACUGGGCGUAAAGCGUGCGUAGGCGGUGAGUUAAGUCUGUUGUGAAAUCCCCGGGCUCAACCUGGGAAUGGCAAUGGAUACUGGCAAGCUAGAGUGUGUCAGAGGAUGGUGGAAUUCCCGGUGUAGCGGUGAAAUGCGUAGAGAUCGGGAGGAACAUCAGUGGCGAAGGCGGCCAUCUGGGACAACACUGACGCUGAGGCACGAAAGCGUGGGGAGCAAACAGGAUUAGAUACCCCGGUAGUCCCUGUCUCUUAUAC
Molecule: ribosomal RNA, 304 nt
Filed under: uncultured bacterium
Lineage: Bacteria
Description: partial 16S ribosomal RNA
Rfam family: Bacterial small subunit ribosomal RNA
Source: RNAcentral